GUAAGGCUAUUGUUUUCAGUUUCCUUAAACCAUGCAUUCAUUCCUUGCCCCUUUGCAUUCAUUAAGCAUGAUACUCAAUUACUUAGCCAACAUGUGUGUAUCUGCCAAGUCCAGUUCUCAAGGUAAUGGUGAUUUCAAGGAUAAGUAGACAUAGCGUCUUAGCUUUUAGGUAAUGGAUGGUUCAGUUAAAGAAAACCAACACGUAAACACAUAGCUAUAAGGUAGAGUAAUAACUACUGAAAUAGAAGAAUGGAGAAGCUAUCAUUGAGAAAAGAGGUCUGUAGUUUGCUGGGAAAUGGCACAAGUUUGGGAAAGUUCUUGAAGGAGGAAGAUUCUGGACGAUGAAGUGGGUAGACCCAAUCAGGAGAUAAAACAAUUAGAUAAAAACAUCUUAGGAAAGA
Molecule: long non-coding RNA, 401 nt
Organism: Lontra canadensis (Northern American river otter)
Lineage: Eukaryota; Metazoa; Chordata; Mammalia; Carnivora; Mustelidae
Exons: 3
Source: RefSeq, a predicted model, not a curated record